This 585-nucleotide ribosomal RNA is filed under the name uncultured bacterium. RNAcentral's name for it is "bacterial SSU rRNA". It matches the Rfam family "Bacterial small subunit ribosomal RNA", at positions 338 to 916 of the family's 1533-position model. The record is from RNAcentral.
CCUACGGGAGGCAGCAGUGGGGAAUUUUGGACAAUGGGGGCAACCCUGAUCCAGCAAUGCCGCGUGUGUGACGAAGGCCUUCGGGUUGUAAAGCACUUUUGGCGGGAACGAAACGGCGCUUUCUAAUACAGAGUGCUAAUGACGGUACCCGCAGAAUAAGCACCGGCUAACUACGUGCCAGCAGCCGCGGUAAUACGUAGGGUGCGAGCGUUAAUCGGAAUUACUGGGCGUAAAGCGUGCGCAGGCGGUUUCGUAAGACAGAUGUGAAAGCCCCGGGCUCAACCUGGGAAGUGCAUUUGUGACUGCGAGACUAGAGUGUGUCAGAGGGAGGUAGAAUUCCACGUGUAGCAGUGAAAUGCGUAGAGAUGUGGAGGAAUACCGAUGGCGAAGGCAGCCUCCUGGGAUAACACUGACGCUCAUGCACGAAAGCGUGGGGAGCAAACAGGAUUAGAUACCCUGGUAGUCCACGCCCUAAACGAUGUCUACUAGUUGUCGGGGAUUCGUUUCCUUGGUAACGCAGCUAACGCGUGAAGUAGACCGCCUGGGGAGUACGGCCGCAAGGUUAAAACUCAAAUGAAUUGACGG